UAGCCUUGACAUACUACAGAAUUUGACAGAGAUGUUGAAGUGCCUUCGGGAGCUGUAAUACAGGUGCUGCACGGCUGUCGUCAGCUCGUGUCGUGAGAUGUUGGGUUAAGUCCCGCAACGAGCGCAACCCUCGUCCUUAGUUACUAACGGUUUGGCCGAGGACUCUAAGGAGACUGCCUUCGUAAGGAGGAGGAAGGUGAGGACGACGUCAAGUCAUCAUGGCCCUUACGGCUAGGGCAACACACGUGCUACAAUGGUUAGGACAAUGAGAAGCGAUACCGCGAGGUGGAGCAAAUCUAUAAACCUAAUCUCAGUUCGGAUAGCAGUCUGCAACUCGACUGCUUGAAGCUGGAAUCACUAGUAAUCGUAAAUCAGCUAUGUUACGGUGAAUACGUUCCCGGGUCU
Molecule: ribosomal RNA, 405 nt
Filed under: uncultured bacterium
Lineage: Bacteria
Description: bacterial SSU rRNA
Rfam family: Bacterial small subunit ribosomal RNA
Source: RNAcentral